AAACCAACAGGGAUUGCCUUAGUAACGGCGAGUGAAGCGGCAAAAGCUCAAAUUUGAAAUCUAGCACUUUCAGUGUUCGAGUUGUAAUUUGAAGAAGGUAUCUUUGGAGUUGGCCCCUGUCUAUGUUCCUUGGAACAGGACGUCACAGAGGGUGAGAAUCCCGUGCGAUGGGGAGACCAAUUCUAUGUAAAGUUCCUUCGAAGAGUCGAGUUGUUUGGGAAUGCAGCUCUAAGUGGGUGGUAAAUUCCAUCUAAAGCUAAAUAUUGGCGAGAGACCGAUAGCGAACAAGUACAGUGAUGGAAAGAUGAAAAGAACUUUGAAAAGAGAGUGAAAAAGUACGUGAAAUUGUUGAAAGGGAAGGACUUUUGAUCAGACUUGGUGUUUAGUACUCUCUACUCCUUGUGGGUGGGGCUCUUGCUUUAUACUGGGCCAGCAUCGGUUUGGAUGGCAGGAUAAUGGCAUUGGAAUGUGGCUUCAUUCGUGGAGUGUUAUAGCCUUUGUUGAUACUGCCUAUCUAGACCGAGGACUGCGUCUUUGACUAGGAUGCUGGCGUAAUGAUUAAAAGUCGC
RNAcentral lists this ribosomal RNA (569 nucleotides) under Nakazawaea ishiwadae. RNAcentral's name for it is "eukaryotic LSU rRNA". It matches the Rfam family "Eukaryotic large subunit ribosomal RNA", at positions 62 to 648 of the family's 3401-position model. Lineage: Eukaryota; Fungi; Ascomycota; Pichiomycetes; Alaninales; Pachysolenaceae. The record is from RNAcentral.